This 425-nucleotide ribosomal RNA is filed under the name uncultured bacterium. RNAcentral's name for it is "partial 16S ribosomal RNA". It matches the Rfam family "Bacterial small subunit ribosomal RNA", at positions 354 to 796 of the family's 1533-position model. The record is from RNAcentral.
GUGGGGAAUCUUGCGCAAUGGGCGAAAGCCUGACGCAGCCAUGCCGCGUGGAUGAUGAAGGUCUUAGGAUUGUAAAAUCCUUUCACCGGUGAAGAUAAUGACUGUAGCCGGAGAAGAAGCCCCGGCUAACUUCGUGCCAGCAGCCGCGGUAAUACGAAGGGGGCUAGCGUUGCUCGGAUUUACUGGGCGUAAAGGGCGCGUAGGCGGACAGUUAAGUCAGGGGUGAAAUCCCGGGGCUCAACCUCGGAACUGCCUUUGAUACUGGGUGUCUUGAGUAUGAGAGAGGUGUGUGGAACUCCGAGUGUAGAGGUGAAAUUCGUAGAUAUUCGGAAGAACACCAGUGGCGAAGGCGACACACUGGCUCAUUACUGACGCUGAGGCGCGAAAGCGUGGGGAGCAAACAGGAUUAGAUACCCUUGUAGUCC